RNAcentral lists this ribosomal RNA (253 nucleotides) under uncultured bacterium. RNAcentral's name for it is "partial 16S ribosomal RNA". It matches the Rfam family "Bacterial small subunit ribosomal RNA", at positions 524 to 776 of the family's 1533-position model. RNAcentral also lists the same sequence under 1 other name. The record is from RNAcentral.
GACAGAGGGUGCAAACGUUGUUCGGAAUUACUGGGCGUAAAGCGUGUGUAGGCGGCCGCAUAAGUCGGGUGUGAAAGCCCAGGGCUCAACCCUGGAAGUGCACUCGAAACUGUGUGGCUCGAGUACCGGAGAGGUUGGUGGAAUUCUCGGUGUAGAGGUGAAAUUCGUAGAUAUCGAGAGGAACAUCGGUGGCGAAGGCGGCCAACUGGACGAGUACUGACGCUGAGACACGAAAGCGUGGGGAGCAAACAGG